Non-coding RNA from Caenorhabditis brenneri, 72 nucleotides. NCBI's taxonomy places the organism in Eukaryota, Metazoa, Nematoda, Chromadorea, Rhabditida, Rhabditidae. The record is from the annotation of a GenBank genome assembly.
GCGUGCGUGGUGUAGUGGCUAACGCUGCUGUUUUGGAAUCUCUGGGCGCGGGUUCGAACCCCAUCAUGGUCA